RNAcentral lists this ribosomal RNA (364 nucleotides) under uncultured Desulfobulbus sp. Its description in RNAcentral is "bacterial SSU rRNA". It matches the Rfam family "Bacterial small subunit ribosomal RNA", at positions 1016 to 1382 of the family's 1533-position model. The record is from RNAcentral. Lineage: Bacteria; Pseudomonadati; Thermodesulfobacteriota; Desulfobulbia; Desulfobulbales; Desulfobulbaceae.
UCUGGAAGAAUCUGGAGACAGGUGCUGCAUGGCUGUCGUCAGCUCGUGUCGUGAGAUGUUGGUUAAGUCCCGCAACGAGCGCAACCCUUGCCUUUAGUUGCCAGCAGUUCGGCUGGGCACUCUAAAGGGACUGCCGGUGUUAAACCGGAGGAAGGUGGGGAUGACGUCAAGUCCUCAUGGCCUUUAUGACCAGGGCUACACACGUACUACAAUGGCCGAUACAAAGGGCAGCGACACUGCGAGGUGAAGCCAAUCCCGUAAAAUCGGUCUCAGUCCGGAUUGGAGUCUGCAACUCGACUCCAUGAAGUUGGAAUCGCUAGUAAUCGUGGAUCAGCAUGCCACGGUGAAUACGUUCCCGGGCCUU